UACAGAGGGUGCGAGCGUUAAUCGGAAUUACUGGGCGUAAAGCGCACGUAGGUGGCGACGUAAGUCGGGUGUGAAAGCCCCGGGCUCAACCUGGGAAUUGCAUUCGAGACUGCAUUGCUGGAGUACGGAAGAGGAGGGCGGAAUUCCCGGUGUAGCGGUGAAAUGCGUAGGUAUCGGGAGGAACAUCAGUGGCGAAGGCGGCCCUCUGGUCCAGUACUGACACUCAAGUGCGAAAGCGUGGGGAGCAAACAGG
RNAcentral lists this ribosomal RNA (253 nucleotides) under uncultured bacterium. Its description in RNAcentral is "partial 16S ribosomal RNA". It matches the Rfam family "Bacterial small subunit ribosomal RNA", at positions 524 to 776 of the family's 1533-position model. The record is from RNAcentral.